This is a non-coding RNA of Merluccius polli (Benguela hake), 76 nucleotides long. The record is from the annotation of a GenBank genome assembly. Lineage: Eukaryota; Metazoa; Chordata; Actinopteri; Gadiformes; Merlucciidae.
GGAUAGUCUAGUCUAGCGGUGAGGGUGUUUCACUCCUAGCCGAAAAGGUUCUGGGUUCGAACCCCGUAGACAUCCU